Myodes glareolus (Bank vole) is the source of this 106-nucleotide small nuclear RNA. The record is from RefSeq and is a predicted model, not a curated record. NCBI's taxonomy places the organism in Eukaryota, Metazoa, Chordata, Mammalia, Rodentia, Cricetidae.
GUGCUCACUUCAGCAACACAGAUUAUAAGUUGGAAUGAUACACAGAAGAUCAGCAUGGCCUCUGCACAAGGCUGUCAAGCAAAUUUAUGAAACAUUCCAUUUUUUU